UUUAUUUAUCAGAGUCACCACUUGGGAUAAGUUUGGCUUUUGUGUCCCAAGUCAUCAAUUUAUCUUGGAUCCUAAAUCGAGGAAAUUUUUGACUUUUCAAGUGAAGUCUGCGAACCAUAUAUUCUGACGAAGGAAUUAUGUUGACCUGAGGGAAGGUAUUAGGCACCCCCGAAUCCCGUGGUUCUUGCAUGGUCACUUAAACCAUCAUAAUUGGGUCAUUAUCUGAUUUUAAAACAUGUCACUCUAUAAUGCAAUUUUAAAUUAUUUACCGUUAUUUAAUUAAUUUUAAGGAAGAUUGAACGUCGUUUGAAACGUGUUUUGGAUCAUGUCACAUGAAACGCACCUGGAUCCGAAACACAUUU
Molecule: long non-coding RNA, 362 nt
Filed under: Nicotiana benthamiana
Lineage: Eukaryota; Viridiplantae; Streptophyta; Magnoliopsida; Solanales; Solanaceae
Description: long non-coding RNA (NBEN_LNC033533)
Source: RNAcentral